RNAcentral lists this ribosomal RNA (488 nucleotides) under uncultured soil bacterium. Its description in RNAcentral is "bacterial SSU rRNA". It matches the Rfam family "Bacterial small subunit ribosomal RNA", at positions 26 to 506 of the family's 1533-position model. The record is from RNAcentral.
AGAUUGAACGCUGGCGGCAUGCCUUACACAUGCAAGUCGAACGGCAGCACGGGAGCAAUCCUGGUGGCGAGUGGCGAACGGGUGAGUAAUAUGUCGGAACGUGCCCAGUCGUGGGGGAUAACGCAGCGAAAGCUGUGCUAAUACCGCAUACGAUCUAUGGAUGAAAGCGGGGGAUCGCAAGACCUCGCGCGAUUGGAGCGGCCAAUAUCAGAUUAGCUAGUUGGUGGGGUAAAAGCCUACCAAGGCGACGAUCUGUAGCUGGUCUGAGAGGACGACCAGCCACACUGGAACUGAGACACGGUCCAGACUCCUACGGGAGCAGCAGUGGGGAAUUUUGGACAAUGGGCGCAAGCCUGAUCCAGCCAUGCCGCGUGUGUGAAGAAGGCCUUGGUUGUAAAGCUACUUUUUGUAACGGAAGAAAAGCUAAAGUCGGUUAAUACCCGUUGUACAUAGACGGUACGUAAGAAUAACGCACCGGCUAACUUCGU